RNAcentral lists this ribosomal RNA (397 nucleotides) under uncultured bacterium. RNAcentral's name for it is "partial 16S ribosomal RNA". It matches the Rfam family "Bacterial small subunit ribosomal RNA", at positions 362 to 776 of the family's 1533-position model. The record is from RNAcentral.
UAUUGCACAAUGGGGGAAACCCUGAUGCAGCGACGACGCGUGCGUGAAGAAGUAUCUCGGUANGUAAAGCUCUAUCAGCAGGGAANNNNNNNANGGUACCUGAUUAAGAAGCCCCGGCUAACUACGUGCCNNNCNACGCGGUAAUACGUAGGGGGCAAGCGUUAUCCGGAUUUACUGGGUGUAAAGGGAGCGUAGACGGCAGCACAAGUCUGGAGUGAAAUGCCGGGGCUUAACCCCGGAACUGCUUUGGAAACUGUGCAGCUAGAGUGCAGGAGAGGUAAGUGGAAUUCCUAGUGUAGCGGUGAAAUGCGUAGAUAUUAGGAGGAACACCAGUGGCGAAGGCGGCUUACUGGACUGUAACUGACGUUGAGGCUCGAAAGCGUGGGGAGCAAACAGG